GACGAACGCUGGCGGCGUGCUUAACACAUGCAAGUCGAACGGAAAGGCCCUGCUUUUGUGGGGUGCUCGAGUGGCGAACGGGUGAGUAACACGUGAGUAACCUGCCCUUGACUUUGGGAUAACUUCAGGAAACUGGGGCUAAUACCGGAUAGGAGCUCCUGCUGCAUGGUGGGGGUUGGAAAGUUUCGGCGGUUGGGGAUGGACUCGCGGCUUAUCAGCUUGUUGGUGGGGUAGUGGCUUACCAAGGCUUUGACGGGUAGCCGGCCUGAGAGGGUGACCGGCCACAUGGGGACUGAGAUACGGCCCAGACUCCUACGGGGGGCAGCAGUGGGGAAUAUGGCAAAAGGGGCGGAAGCCUGAUGCAGCAACGCCGGGGGGGGGAGGACGGCCUUCGGGUUGUAAACCGCUUUCGCCUGUGACGAAGCGUGGGUGACGGUAAUGGGUAAAGAAGCACCGGCUAACUACGU
RNAcentral lists this ribosomal RNA (467 nucleotides) under uncultured bacterium. RNAcentral describes it as "partial 16S ribosomal RNA". It matches the Rfam family "Bacterial small subunit ribosomal RNA", at positions 28 to 506 of the family's 1533-position model. The record is from RNAcentral.